GAACUGAAGAGUUUGAUCAUGGCUCAGAUUGAACGCUGGCGGCAGGCCUAACACAUGCAAGUCGAGCGGAUGAAGGGAGCUUGCUCCUGGAUUCAGCGGCGGACGGGUGAGUAAUGCCUAGGAAUCUGCCUGGUAGUGGGGGAUAACGU
RNAcentral lists this ribosomal RNA (149 nucleotides) under Pseudomonas aeruginosa. Its description in RNAcentral is "partial 16S ribosomal RNA". It matches the Rfam family "Bacterial small subunit ribosomal RNA", at positions 1 to 149 of the family's 1533-position model. Lineage: Bacteria; Pseudomonadati; Pseudomonadota; Gammaproteobacteria; Pseudomonadales; Pseudomonadaceae. RNAcentral also lists the same sequence under 1 other name. The record is from RNAcentral.